AAGACUGAUCGCCCCAAUGGACUGAGACCCGGCCCAUAUCCUACGGAGGCAGCAGUAGGAAUCUUCCACAAUGGGCGCAAGCCUGAUGGAGCAACACCGCGUGAGUGAAGAAGGGUUUCGGCUCGUAAAGCUCUGUUGUUAAAGAAGAACACGUAUGAGAGUAACUGUUCAUACGUUGACGGUAUUUAACCAGAAAGUCACGGCUAACUACGUGCCAGCAGCCGCGGUAAUACGUAGGUGGCAAGCGUUAUCCGGAUUUAUUGGGCGUAAAGAGAGUGCAGGCGGUUUUCUAAGUCUGAUGUGAAAGCCUUCGGCUUAACCGGAGAAGUGCAUCGGAAACUGGAUAACUUGAGUGCAGAAGAGGGUAGUGGAACUCCAUGUGUAGCGGUGGAAUGCGUAGAUAUAUGGAAGAACACCAGUGGCGAAGGCGGCUACCUGGUCUGCAACUGACGCUGAGACUCGAAAGCAUGGGUAGCGAACAGGAUUAGAUACCCUGGUAGUCCAUGCCGUAAACGAUGAGUGCUAGGUGUUGGAGGGUUUCCGCCCUUCAGUGCCGGAGCUAACGCAUUAAGCACUCCGCCUGGGGAGUACGACCGCAAGGUUGAAACUCAAAGGAAUUGACGGGGGCCCGCACAAGCGGUGGAGCAUGUGGUUUAAUUCGAAGCUACGCGAAGAACCUUACCAGGUCUUGACAUCUUGCGCCAACCCUAGAGAUAGGGCGUUUCCUUCGGGAACGCAAUGACAGGUGGUGCAUGGUCGUCGUCAGCUCGUGUCGUGAGAUGUUGGGUUAAGUCCCGCAACGAGCGCAACCCUUGUUACUAGUUGCCAGCAUUAAGUUGGGCACUCUAGUGAGACUGCCGGUGACAAACCGGAGGAAGGUGGGGACGACGUCAGAUCAUCAUGCCCCUUAUGACCUGGGCUACACACGUGCUACAAUGGACGGUACAACGAGUCGCGAACUCGCGAGGGCAAGCAAAUCUCUUAAAACCGUUCUCAGUUCGGACUGCAGGCUGCAACUCGCCUGCACGAAGUCGGAAUCGCUAGUAAUCGCGGAUCAGCAUGCCGCGGUGAAUACGUUCCCGGGCCUUGUACACACCGCCCGUCACACCAUGAGAGUUUGUAACACCCAAAGUCGGUGAGAGUAACGCUUCUAGGNA
RNAcentral lists this ribosomal RNA (1157 nucleotides) under Limosilactobacillus fermentum. Its description in RNAcentral is "bacterial SSU rRNA". It matches the Rfam family "Bacterial small subunit ribosomal RNA", at positions 296 to 1448 of the family's 1533-position model. Lineage: Bacteria; Bacillati; Bacillota; Bacilli; Lactobacillales; Lactobacillaceae. The record is from RNAcentral.